RNAcentral lists this ribosomal RNA (433 nucleotides) under uncultured bacterium. RNAcentral's name for it is "partial 16S ribosomal RNA". It matches the Rfam family "Bacterial small subunit ribosomal RNA", at positions 29 to 507 of the family's 1533-position model. The record is from RNAcentral.
AGCGAACGCUGGCGGCAGGCCUAACACAUGCAAGUCGAACGAACUCUUCGGAGUUAGUGGCGGACGGGUGAGUAACACGUGGGAACGUGCCUUUUGGUUCGGAAUAACUCAGGGAAACUUGUGCUAAUACCGAAUGUGCCCUUCGGGGGAAAGAUUUAUCGCCAUUAGAGCGGCCCGCGUCUGAUUAGCUAGUUGGUGAGGUAACGGCUCGCCAAGGCGACGAUCAGUAGCUGGUCUGAGAGGAUGACCAGCCACACUGGGACUGAGACACGGCCCAGACUCCUACGGGAGGCAGCAGUGGGGAAUCUUGCGCAAUGGGCGAAAGCCUGACGCAGCCAUGCCGCGUGAAUGAUGAAGGUCUUAGGAUUGUAAAAUUCUUUCACCGGGGACGAUAAUGACGGUACCCGGAGAAGAAGCCCCGGCCAACUUCGUG